Molecule: signal recognition particle RNA, 306 nt
Filed under: Papio anubis (olive baboon)
Lineage: Eukaryota; Metazoa; Chordata; Mammalia; Primates; Cercopithecidae
Description: Metazoan signal recognition particle RNA (ENSPANG00000048611.1)
Rfam family: Metazoan signal recognition particle RNA
About the family: The signal recognition particle (SRP) is a universally conserved ribonucleoprotein. It is involved in the co-translational targeting of proteins to membranes.
Source: RNAcentral
GCCGGGCGAGGUGGCAGCGCCUGUAGUCCCAGCUACUCGGGAGGCUGAGGCAGGAGAAUGGCAGGAACCCGGGAGGCGGAGCUUGCAGUGAGCUGAGAUCCGGCCACUCACUCCAGCCUGGGCGACAGAGCGAGACUCCGCCUCAAAAACAAAAAAAGAAAAAGAAAAAGAAGUAGAAGGAAGUUUUUUGUUUGUUUGUUUUUUUGAGACAGAGUCUCGCUCUGUCGCCCAGGCUGGAGGGCAGUGGCGGGAUCUCAGCUCACUGCAAGCUCCGCCUCCCGGGUUCCGGCCAUUCUCCCGCCUCAG